RNAcentral lists this long non-coding RNA (332 nucleotides) under Cricetulus griseus (Chinese hamster). RNAcentral's name for it is "lncRNA (ENSCGRG00015039356.1)". The record is from RNAcentral. Lineage: Eukaryota; Metazoa; Chordata; Mammalia; Rodentia; Cricetidae.
CUCUCUUCCCGGGUGGACAGAUCUGGAGGAUUUCAGCAGCAGACCCUUGGGCUCAGGGGUGAGAUCCAAGUCCUCAGGGGACCAUCUUGAAAGCUACUGAGGCUUUCCAGGCACAGUUGUCUUCCAGGAUUUUCUGCAAGAAGGAAGAAGUUUAAAAAAUGGCAGCUAAUGAGAUUUGCUCCUGGAAAACUCACCAGAGCCGUAAUUCAUCGGCUGCUUUUGAGUCACUACAGCUGAAGCAGGGAGGAGCUAUAAGAAAUCAUUUUGUCACCUGCUUUAGACAGCUGAAAACCCACCCAACAAGGACCGCACUGAUCUCAGGCAAAUGAGUG